RNAcentral lists this ribosomal RNA (456 nucleotides) under Streptococcus cristatus. RNAcentral describes it as "bacterial SSU rRNA". It matches the Rfam family "Bacterial small subunit ribosomal RNA", at positions 28 to 470 of the family's 1533-position model. Lineage: Bacteria; Bacillati; Bacillota; Bacilli; Lactobacillales; Streptococcaceae. The record is from RNAcentral.
GACGAACGCUGGCGGCGUGCCUAAUACAUGCAAGUAGAACGCUGAAGGAGGAGCUUGCUCUUCUGGAUGAGUUGCGAACGGGUGAGUAACGCGUAGGUAACCUGCCUGGUAGCGGGGGAUAACUAUUGGAAACGAUAGCUAAUACCGCAUAACAUUGACUAUUGCAUGAUAGUCAAUUGAAAGGUGCAAAUGCACCACUACCAGAUGGACCUGCGUUGUAUUAGCUAGUUGGUGGGGUAACGGCUCACCAAGGCGACGAUACAUAGCCGACCUGAGAGGGUGAUCGGCCACACUGGGACUGAGACACGGCCCAGACUCCUACGGGAGGCAGCAGUAGGGAAUCUUCGGCAAUGGACGGAAGUCUGACCGAGCAACGCCGCGUGAGUGAAGAAGGUUUUCGGAUCGUAAAGCUCUGUUGUAAGAGAAGAACGAGUGUGAGAGUGGAAAGUUCACACU